UACAGAGGUCUCAAGCGUUGUUCGGAUUCAUUAGGCGUAAAGGGUGCGUAGGUGGCGCCAUAAGUCAGGUGUGAAAUCUCGGGGCUCAACCCCGAAACUGCAUUUGAUACUGUGGUGCUCGAGUACUGGAGAGGAGAUUGGAAUUUACGGUGUAGCAGUGAAAUGCGUAGAUAUCGUAAGGAAGACCAGUGGCGAAGGCGAAUCUCUGGACAGUUACUGACACUGAGGCACGAAGGCCAGGGGAGCAAACGGG
Molecule: ribosomal RNA, 253 nt
Filed under: uncultured bacterium
Lineage: Bacteria
Description: partial 16S ribosomal RNA
Rfam family: Bacterial small subunit ribosomal RNA
Source: RNAcentral